RNAcentral lists this ribosomal RNA (425 nucleotides) under uncultured bacterium. Its description in RNAcentral is "bacterial SSU rRNA". It matches the Rfam family "Bacterial small subunit ribosomal RNA", at positions 354 to 796 of the family's 1533-position model. The record is from RNAcentral.
GUGGGGAAUCUUAGACAAUGGGCGCAAGCCUGAUCUAGCCAUGCCGCGUGAGCGAUGAAGGCCUUAGGGUUGUAAAGCUCUUUCAGGGGGGAAGAUAAUGACGAUACCAGCAGAAGAAGCCCCGGCUAACUCCGUGCCAGCAGCCGCGGUAAUACGGAGGGGGCUAGCGUUGUUCGGAAUUACUGGGCGUAAAGCGCGCGUAGGCGGACUGAAAAGUUGGGGGUGAAAUCCCGGGGCUCAACCUCGGAACUGCCUUCAAAACUAUCAGUCUGGAGUUCGAGAGAGGUGAGUGGAAUUCCGAGUGUAGAGGUGAAAUUCGUAGAUAUUCGGAGGAACACCAGUGGCGAAGGCGGCUCACUGGCUCGAUACUGACGCUGAGGUGCGAAAGCGUGGGGAGCAAACAGGAUUAGAUACCCGAGUAGUCC